RNAcentral lists this transfer RNA (70 nucleotides) under Upeneus japonicus (Bensasi goatfish). RNAcentral describes it as "tRNA-Met". It matches the Rfam family "tRNA". From Rfam's summary of the family: Transfer RNA (tRNA) molecules are approximately 80 nucleotides in length. Their secondary structure includes four short double-helical elements and three loops (D, anti-codon, and T loops). Further hydrogen bonds mediate the characteristic L-shaped molecular structure. tRNAs have two regions of fundamental functional importance: the anti-codon, which is responsible for specific mRNA codon recognition, and the 3' end, to which the tRNAs corresponding amino acid is attached (by aminoacyl-tRNA synthetases). tRNAs cope with the degeneracy of the genetic code in two manners: having more than one tRNA (with a specific anti-codon) for a particular amino acid; and 'wobble' base-pairing, i.e. permitting non-standard base-pairing at the 3rd anti-codon position. The record is from RNAcentral. Lineage: Eukaryota; Metazoa; Chordata; Actinopteri; Syngnathiformes; Mullidae.
AGUAAGGUAAGCUAAUUCAAGCUCUUGGGCCCAUACCCCAAAAAUGUGGGUUAAAAUCCCUCCCUUGCUA